UAAGGCCUCAUUUGGAGAUUGAAUUUUUGA
RNAcentral lists this non-coding RNA (30 nucleotides) under Mus musculus (house mouse). The record is from RNAcentral. Lineage: Eukaryota; Metazoa; Chordata; Mammalia; Rodentia; Muridae.